This 600-nucleotide ribosomal RNA is filed under the name uncultured Streptomyces sp. Its description in RNAcentral is "bacterial SSU rRNA". It matches the Rfam family "Bacterial small subunit ribosomal RNA", at positions 36 to 653 of the family's 1533-position model. Lineage: Bacteria; Bacillati; Actinomycetota; Actinomycetes; Kitasatosporales; Streptomycetaceae. The record is from RNAcentral.
CUGGCGGCGUGCUUAACACAUGCAAGUCGAACGGUGAAGCCUUUCGGGGUGGAUCAGUGGCGAACGGGUGAGUAACACGUGGGCAAUCUGCCCUGCACUCUGGGACAAGCCCUGGAAACGGGGUCUAAUACCGGAUAUUACCUGAGGGGGCAUCUUCUCGGGUGGAAAGCUCCGGCGGUGCAGGAUGAGCCCGCGGCCUAUCAGCUUGUUGGUGGGGUGAUGGCCUACCAAGGCGACGACGGGUAGCCGGCCUGAGAGGGCGACCGGCCACACUGGGACUGAGACACGGCCCAGACUCCUACGGGAGGCAGCAGUGGGGAAUAUUGCACAAUGGGCGAAAGCCUGAUGCAGCGACGCCGCGUGAGGGAUGACGGCCUUCGGGUUGUAAACCUCUUUCAGCAGGGAAGAAGCGCAAGUGACGGUACCUGCAGAAGAAGCACCGGCUAACUACGUGCCAGCAGCCGCGGUAAUACGUAGGGUGCGAGCGUUGUCCGGAAUUAUUGGGCGUAAAGAGCUCGUAGGCGGCUUGUCGCGUCGGAUGUGAAAGCCCGGGGCUUAACUCCGGGUCUGCAUUCGAUACGGGCAGGCUAGAGUUCGGUA